Molecule: transfer RNA, 76 nt
Filed under: Herpetosiphonaceae bacterium
Lineage: Bacteria; Bacillati; Chloroflexota; Chloroflexia; Herpetosiphonales; Herpetosiphonaceae
Description: tRNA-Gly
Rfam family: tRNA
About the family: Transfer RNA (tRNA) molecules are approximately 80 nucleotides in length.
Source: RNAcentral
GCGGGAAUAGCUCAAUUGGCAGAGCACUUGCCUUCCAAGUAAGAUGUUGGGAGUUCGAGCCUCCUUUCCCGCUCCA